ACGUUUUUGUUGGUAUCAUACUAAGGAAAUACCUCCGAACCAUAUUAACCGACCUGUUGCAACACUGCUCACUGAUAUGGAUAGUAAGAUAAUAUAUUGGAAUGUUUUGUAACAAAGACAAAUGGAACGUAUCAAGAAAACUAGUCAUCAUUUGAACUGAUAAAACAACAGAAUUGGCGUUUUACUGAGGGGAAUAUUUUAAAGGGAAGGAAGAUUAAGAAGAAGAGUAGCUGCUGCUUCAGCAAGAGAUAACAGGGAUCCUAGUACAACACUAAAUACCAAAGGACGAUGGAAGCGAGGACGGUGUGGCAUCACUGCUAGUCGACUGGAGGAAAGGUCAAUGCUAAAAGAGAGAAACAGUGAGGCUGAAGGAGGGAAACAGUGAGGCUGAAGGCUGAAGGAGAGAAACAGUGAGGCUGAAGGAGGGAAACGUUAUCCACCUGGAGGAAGUCUCAGGGUGGUGAGUUGUGGCUCUCUGCUUCGUUAUCAUCGCUGUCAUCUCUGACAAUGAAAAACAGUGGAUGGGGGCGGAGCAGAGCCAGACAGGAAAAGAGGGAAAGAGAGGCCCGAGCAGAGACGGAAGAAAACAC
Molecule: long non-coding RNA, 590 nt
Filed under: Salmo salar (Atlantic salmon)
Lineage: Eukaryota; Metazoa; Chordata; Actinopteri; Salmoniformes; Salmonidae
Description: lncRNA (ENSSSAG00000087139.1)
Source: RNAcentral